This 497-nucleotide ribosomal RNA is filed under the name uncultured bacterium. Its description in RNAcentral is "partial 16S ribosomal RNA". It matches the Rfam family "Bacterial small subunit ribosomal RNA", at positions 28 to 507 of the family's 1533-position model. The record is from RNAcentral.
GAUGAACGCUGGCGGCGUGCCUAAUACAUGCAAGUCGAGCGAACAGACGAGGAGCUUGCUCCUCUGACGUUAGCGGCGGACGGGUGAGUAACACGUGGAUAACCUACCUAUAAGACUGGGAUCACUUCGGGAAACCGGAGCUAAUACGGGAUAAUCUAUUGAACCGCAUGGUUCAAUAGUGAAAGACGGUUUUGCUGUCACUUAUAGCUGGAUCCGCGCCGCUUUAGCUAGUUGUUACGGUAACGGCUUUCCACGGCAACGAUGCGUAGCCGACCUGAGAGGGUGAUAGGCCACACUGGAACUGGGACGCGGUCCAGGGGCCUACGGGAGGCAGCAGUAGGGAAUCGUCCGCAGUGGGCGGAAGCCUGGCGGAGCGGCGCGGCGUGAGUGAUGGAGGUCUUCGGAUCGUAAAACUCUGUUAUUAGGGAAGAACAGAUGUGGAAGUAACUAUGCACGUCUUGACGGUACCUAAUCAGAAAGCCACGGCUAACUACGUG